UACGUAGGGGGCAAGCGUUGUCCGGAAUCAUUGGGCGUAAAGCGCGUGUAGGCGGCCCGAUAAGUCCGCUGUGAAAGUCCAGGGCUCAACCCUGGAAUGCCGGUGGAUACUGUCGGGCUCGAGUCCGGAAGAGGCGAGUGGAAUUCCUGGUGUAGCGGUGAAAUGCGCAGAUAUCAGGAGGAACACCGAUGGCAAAGGCAGCUCGCUGGGACGGUACUGACGCUGAGACGCGAAAGCGUGGGGAGCAAACAGG
RNAcentral lists this ribosomal RNA (253 nucleotides) under uncultured bacterium. RNAcentral describes it as "partial 16S ribosomal RNA". It matches the Rfam family "Bacterial small subunit ribosomal RNA", at positions 524 to 776 of the family's 1533-position model. The record is from RNAcentral.